RNAcentral lists this ribosomal RNA (459 nucleotides) under uncultured bacterium. Its description in RNAcentral is "partial 16S ribosomal RNA". It matches the Rfam family "Bacterial small subunit ribosomal RNA", at positions 338 to 795 of the family's 1533-position model. The record is from RNAcentral.
CCUACGGGUGGCAGCAGUGAGGAAUAUUGGUCAAUGGGAGAGAGCCUGAACCAGCCAAGCCGCGUGAGGGAAGACGGCCCUAUGGGUUGUAAACCUCUUUUGUCCGAGGACAAAACCCGGGACGAGUCCCGGGCUGCGUGUAUCCGACGAAAAAGCAUCGGCUAACUCCGUGCCAGCAGCCGCGGUAAUACGGAGGAUGCGAGCGUUAUCCGGAUUUAUUGGGUUUAAAGGGUGCGUAGGCGGUCUGUUAAGUCAGCGGUAAAAUUGCGGGGCUCAACCCCGCCGAGCCGUUGAUACUGGCAGACUUGAGUUGACUAGCGGUACGCGGAAUGUGCGGUGUAGCGGUGAAAUGCAUAGAGAUCGCGCAGAACUCCGAUUGCGAAGGCAGCUUACCGGCGUCAGACUGACGCUGAGGCACGAAAGCGUGGGGAUCGAACAGGAUUAGAUACCCUUGUAGUC